UACGGGGGGGCAAGCGUUGUUCGGAAUUACUGGGCGUAAAGGGCGCGUAGGCGGCCUGCUAAGUCGGACGUGAAAUCCCUCGGCUCAACCGGGGAACUGCGUCCGAUACUGACAGGCUCGAAUCCGGGAGAGGGAUGUGGAAUUCCAGGUGUAGCGGUGAAAUGCGUAGAUAUCUGGAGGAACACCGGUGGCGAAGGCGGCAUCCUGGACCGGUAUUGACGCUGAGGCGCGAAAGCCAGGGGAGCAAACGGG
RNAcentral lists this unclassified non-coding RNA (252 nucleotides) under uncultured Acidobacteriota bacterium. RNAcentral's name for it is "uncultured Acidobacteria bacterium contains 16S-23S intergenic spacer region". It matches the Rfam family "Bacterial small subunit ribosomal RNA", at positions 524 to 776 of the family's 1533-position model. The record is from RNAcentral. Lineage: Bacteria; Pseudomonadati; Acidobacteriota.